Molecule: transfer RNA, 73 nt
Filed under: Klebsiella phage PKO111
Lineage: Duplodnaviria; Heunggongvirae; Uroviricota; Caudoviricetes; Pantevenvirales; Straboviridae
Also listed under: 7 other names
Rfam family: tRNA
About the family: Transfer RNA (tRNA) molecules are approximately 80 nucleotides in length. Their secondary structure includes four short double-helical elements and three loops (D, anti-codon, and T loops). Further hydrogen bonds mediate the characteristic L-shaped molecular structure. tRNAs have two regions of fundamental functional importance: the anti-codon, which is responsible for specific mRNA codon recognition, and the 3' end, to which the tRNAs corresponding amino acid is attached (by aminoacyl-tRNA synthetases). tRNAs cope with the degeneracy of the genetic code in two manners: having more than one tRNA (with a specific anti-codon) for a particular amino acid; and 'wobble' base-pairing, i.e. permitting non-standard base-pairing at the 3rd anti-codon position.
Source: Rfam by way of RNAcentral
GGACCUAUAGUUUCAGCGGUUAAAAUACUCGCCUGUCACGCGAGAGUCACGGAUUCGAAUUCCGUUAGGUCCG